Molecule: ribosomal RNA, 1146 nt
Filed under: Candidatus Daviesbacteria bacterium
Lineage: Bacteria; Candidatus Daviesiibacteriota
Description: bacterial SSU rRNA
Rfam family: Bacterial small subunit ribosomal RNA
Source: RNAcentral
ACGACGGGUAGCUGGACUGAGAGGUCGGUCAGCCACAAUGGCACUGCGACACGGGCCAUACACCUACGGGUGGCAGCAACCGGGAAUAUUCGGCAAUGGGCGAAAGCCUGACCGAGCGACGCCGCGUGGAGGAUGAAGGCCUUCGGGUUGUAAACUCCUUUUAUUUGGGAAGAUUAUGACGGUACCAGAUGAAUAAGCACCUGCUAACUACGUGCCAGAAGCCUCGGUAAUACGUAGGGUGCAAGCAUUAUCCGGAUUUAUUGGGCGUAAAGUGUUGCGUAGGCGGUUUGACGCAUUCUGCUAGAAAGCCCGUGGCUUAACCACGGUUUUUGGCAGAAGAUGGUCUAACUUAGAUGGUAUGAGAGGGUACUGGAACUGAUAGUGAAGCAGUGAAAUGCGUUGAUAUUAUCGGGAACACCAAAGGCGUAGGCAGGUACCUAGAAUACACAUGACGCUGAGGCACGACAGCUAGGGUAGCGAAAAGGAUUAGAGACCCUUGUAGUCCAAGCUGUAAACUAUCCUUGCUAGAUGGGGUCGGUUUUCCGGCUCUGUCGUAAGCUAACGCGUUAAGCAAGGCGCCUGGGGAGUACGAGCGCAAGCUUAAAACUCAAAGGAAUUGACGGGGACCCGCACAAGCAGUGGAGCGUGUGGUUUAAUUCGAUACAAAGCGAAAAACCUCACCAGGGUUUGACAUGUAUCUGCAAAGCCUAUGAAAGUAGGCCUCCUUCGAGGGUGAUACACAGAUGCUGCAUGGCUGUCGUCAGCUCGUGGCGUGAGCUGUACCAUUAAGUUGGACAACGAGCGCAACCCGCACUAUAUGUUAAAUAAUUCAUAUGGAACAGCCCGGCUUUUCGCCGGGAGGAAGACGCGGAUGACGUCAAGUCAGCACGGUUCUUACACCCUGGGCUACACACACCCUACAAUGGCGAAAAACAACGAGUUACAAGUCAGUAAUGGCAAGUUAAUCUCUUAAAUUUCGUCUCAGUUCAGAUUGAGGGCUGCAAUUCGCCCUCAUGAAGUUGGAAUUGCUAGUAAUCGCGAAUCAGAAGGUCGCGGUGAAUACGUUCUCGGGUCUUGUACAAAUUAAAUGCGCCUGGCAGUUUAUUAAACUAGGUGGUGAAAAUCCAUCAUUGGCGAAAGCCAUUU